UCCUGCUGGCCUUAAAGAAGUGAACCACCAUGAGCUCCACAGCCGUGAGGAAGUGAACUCUGACAACAACCACAUGAGCCUGGAUGAGAACUUCACACCUCAGGGGAGACCCCAGCCCUGGCCCAAACCCUUGGGCACGGUCGCAUGAGCUGCAGAGCGGAGCAGCCAGUUCAGCGGAGCCUGGACUCCAGCCCCACGGAAACGGACUGAGAAGAAACUUCCCUUGAGUGGAACUUCCUGCAGGUCGGGCUGUCCCGCGGCGAAGCUGUCUGCAUUGUCCUGUGAUGCACCCUCUGUCGUUGGAGACGGGUAAGAGAGGCCGAGGGUCAAGCUGUUGGACUUCCACAGAAGGAACUCGGCGGCAGGAGAAUCAGCUCCUCUCCAGGGUUCUAUUUAAUUCAGGUUUUAGGAUGCUUUUGACAAGUGUCAUACGAUGAUCAUUCAUUCAUUUGAGAAGCUCAAGCAUUUCAGUGAAUUGAAAAGCAGACGGCAGGCUCGCUGGAGGCAGAGCCUCGAGCAGACUAUCAACUCACAGUUCCCAGAACAGGUUUUCCCAGAUUACUCUGCAGUCGGUAGACAAGGCAGGGAUUUUUAAUUGCGGUGUCUGCUCCCUGGCUCCCAUCUUCCUCCCGUGGCUGCAGUCCCAUUGGAGACAUGGCUGCAAUGCCCAGAUGACCCCUCAGGACCAGAAGACCUGCUCCCUCAGCUGAUGGGCAGUUUCCAGGGGUUGCCUCAUCCAAGGUCGUGCCCCACUUCCUGAGGCAACCUGCACGCAGUGGCCAGCCAAUACCGGUGUGCACCGACCAGCCCCUGGCCCCAGCGAGCACCAGCCCUACAGGGCCCUCUCAGCCUCAGAGCUCCCGCGGGUUCAGCCAAGGUCUCGUUGUGACUUCACCCAGCUCAGCGCCUCCCUUCCGACAGGGUGGACCCUGGGGACCCCCCGCUAACUCACCCCCAGCUGGCAAACCGCUCCCGCAGUUGGCUUUCUGGAGAACCCACUGGGCAAGAGCAAAGCUGUCUCGUCUCAGACUCCGGUGCGGGGGAGAAAGUUAGUGUGACAGCACACAGCACACACUGGCCUAGAACCCCUCUCCGAACUCUUUUUCUCUCCGCAGCCUCUCUGGACAUGGUGCCUAAUAAAUAUUUAUUGUUGAUUUUGACUUGUAAGAAAAGCAUAUUUUACUUUCAUUACAGGAAACUCAAAAGAUUAAGGAUUUUUUUGAUCAUCCUUGAGUUCCCCUUAAUAAUCAGUUUG
RNAcentral lists this long non-coding RNA (1255 nucleotides) under Equus caballus (horse). RNAcentral describes it as "lncRNA (ENSECAG00000059800.1)". The record is from RNAcentral. Lineage: Eukaryota; Metazoa; Chordata; Mammalia; Perissodactyla; Equidae.